GUGGAGAAGGUCUGAUGGUGACAGACAGGGGAAGAUCAGACCAACGCUCUGGCAAAGGCAAUGGAAAAUCCUAUAGGGGAAGAUCCAAGAGCAGACAGGGGCGUUCCAAAUCGCGUCCCAGAAACAACAAAAACACCAAGGGAUGUUUUGUAUGCGGCAAGGAGGGCCACUGGAAGCGUGAUUGCCCUGAUAAAAAGCCUUACAAAACGCCAGACUCAGCCAAUGUUGUGACAGAGUCCAAGGAACCUUUAAUUCUCACCGCAAGCACCCAAUACUCUAAGGACGAAUGGGUGAUGGACUCUGGCUGCUCGUUCCACAUCACACCAGACAAGAGUUUCCUGUUCGAUCUGGAAGAAUUCAAAGGUGGAAAAGUGUUAAUGGCAAAUAACACACAUAGCAACAUUCAAGGAAUUGGAAAGAUUAAAAUUCUAAAUCCAAAUGGAUCGACUGUGGUUCUAACAGGCGUCAGAUAUAUGCCUGGUAUGAGUAGAAAUUUAAUCUCUUAUGGAAUGUUGGAAACAUCAGGAUGCAGAUAUGAAGGCAAGGAUCUCAUGGUUAAUUUCUAUAAGGAUGAUCAACCGGUUAUCUCAGGGAAAUAUCAUCAGGGACUCUAUUAUCUACAGGGGACAGUCUCUCGAGGAGAGGCUAAUCUAUCUAAAGUUGAGAGGAAUAUGACUAAUGUUUGGCAUUCACGCCUCGGUCAUAUGAAUCUUAAUAACAUGUCUGAACUUGUCAAACGGGGAUUUAUCAUUGACAAGGAAGUUAAGACAUUGGAUUUCUGUGAACACUGCAUAAUUGGAAAAUCUCACAAGCAAAGUUUUCCUAAGGCUAAACAUGUGACUAAAGGGAUUCUAGAGUACAUUCACUCUGACCUUUGGGGUUCUCCAUCUACACCAGAUAGCCUUGCCGGAAACAAAUAUUUCGUGACAUUUAUUGAUGAUUUCUCUAAGAAGGUUUGGAUUUAUUUUCUUAAGACUAAGGAUGAGGUAUUCUCUAAGUUCAGAGAAUGGAAAGCUGAGGUGGAGACAAAGACAGAGAAGAAAAUCAAAUGCCUAAGGACAGAUAAUGGGUUGGAGUUCUGUAAUAAGCAGUUUGAUAAUUACUGCAAACAGGUGGGAAUUAAACGCCACAGAACCUGCAGCUAUACCCCGCAGCAGAAUGGGGUCUCAGAAAGGAUGAACAGAACCAUCAUGGAUAAAGUGAGAUGCAUGUUAGCCGAAUCUGGCCUAGACCAAAGCUUCUGGGCAGAAGCUGCAUCUACUGCUAUCCAUCUGAUUAACAGGUCACCUAACUCUACACUAGAAUUCAAAAUGCCCGAAGAAGUUUGGACAGGUGCUAAGCCCGAUCUGGGACAUCUCAGAACAUUCGGAUGCACUGCUUAUGUGCAUAUAACAGAGGAGAAAACGGGACCAAGAGCCAUAAAGGGAGUCUUCGUGGGAUAUCCUAUGGGCACUAAAGGCUACAGGGUCUGGAUAGAGGAGGAAGGCAGAUGCAGAACAAGCAGAAACGUUGUCUUCAACGAGGAUGAGCUGUACAAACACACUGUUGCUAAAGGAAAAGAAAGCACAGAAGUGACUAAGAAAGGAAAACGAGCUAAGAAGAAGGUUUCAUUCAGUGAUGAUUUGAUCAGAGGACCUUCUCCUUCUGUCGAAUCCAAAGACACAUCUGAUCAAGGUGGAGAAGAAUCAUCAUCAUCUAGCUCUAACAGCUCAGGUAACCAAGAACAAGAUCACGAAGCUGAUAGUGAAAGUGAUCACGAAGUUGAGAGUGAGAGUGGUGCCAUUGAAUCUCUAGACACCUAUGUUCUGGCACGAGAUAGGGAAAGGAGACAGAACGUGAGACCACCAUCCCGAUAUGAAGAUGGGAAUUUUGUAGCUUACGCUCUCAAUGUGAUUGAGGACUUGGAAGUUCAGGAGCCAAAAAGCUACGCAGAAGCUAUGAGAAGCCGAGAAAAGAAACUAUGGAAGCAGGCAGCAGAAGAAGAAAUGGAAUCUCAUAGAAAGAAUAGAACCUGGGACCUCAUUGACAGGCCUACAAAGGCAAAGCUUGUUGGAUGCAGAUGGCUAUUCAAGCUAAAGCCAGGAAUCCCAGGUGUUGAGGAUGAACGAUACAAAGGCAGACUAGUUGCUAAAGGAUAUUCUCAGACAGAAGGGAUUGACUACAAUGAAAUAUUUUCACCUGUUGUGAAACAUGUCUCUAUCAGACUUAUGCUCAGCAUUGUGGUGAAUUUGAAUCUGGAACUAGAACAGAUGGAUGUUAAAACUGCUUUCUUACAUGGAAGCCUAGAGGAAAGAAUCCUUAUGGAACAGCCAGAGGGGUUCAUAAAGCCAGGGACAGAGAACAAAGUAUGCCUGUUAAGGAAGUCUCUGUAUGGCUUGAAGCAAUCCCCAAGAAGAUGGAACCAUCGGUUCAACAACUUCAUGAGGGAUCAGCUAUUUGAACGUUGCAGUAAGGACCUAUGUGUCUACAUGAGGGAUGUUCAAACUAAUAAGGCGAUCUAUCUACUCCUAUAUGUUGACGACAUGUUGAUUGCCUCAGGAAAUAAAAAGGUGAUCAAAGAGCUGAAGGAAAAGCUGAGUGGAGAAUUUGAGAUGAAGGACAUGGGAAAGGCCUCAAGAAUCUUGGGCAUGGAUAUCACCAGAGAUCGAGAGAAGGGAACCCUGAUCCUAUCUCAGAGCAAAUACAUUGAGAAAGUCCUAAGGACGUUUGGAAUGCAGGACGCUAAGGCUGUGAUUACUCCUACUGCAUCACACUUCAAACUAAGAAGUCUCACAGAUGACGAGUUGAAAGUGGAGGCUUCUCAGAUGGAAAGAGUUCCCUAUGCCAGCGCCGUGGGGAGCCUAAUGUACGCCAUGGUAGGCUCCAGACCUGACUUAGGUUUUGCAGUAGGCUACGUCUGCAGAUUCAUGAGUAAACCAGGAAGGGAACACUGGAAAGCAGUUCAGUGGGUCCUAAGGUACUUAAAGGGGGCAGUGAAUUCGAAUUUAACAUUCAGAAAGAACUCUACACUCCUAGUGGAAGGAUACUCAGACUCAGAUUAUGCAACAGACAUGGAUAGAAGGCGUUCAGUAACUGGAUAUGCAUUCAAAUUUGGAGGUAAUACUAUCUCAUGGAAGUCAUGUCUACAAUCAGUGGUUGCCUUAUCUACUACAGAAGCAGAGUACAUGGCUAUGAAUGAAGCAGCAAAAGAAGCAAUGUGGCUAAAAGAAAUAUGCAAUGAACUAGGUUUCAAGCAACAGGGGAUCAAACUCUACUGCGAUUCUCAAAGUGCCCUAGCUCUAGCAAGAAAUCCAGUCAAUCACGAAAAGACAAAGCAUAUAGCUACCAAGUUCAACUUCAUUCGAGAUCUAGUGGAAUCAGGGGAUAUUGUCCUACACAAGAUUCAUACUAAUGUCAAUCCUGCAGACUUCCUAACAAAGACGGUACCUGGUCAGAAGUUCCAGCUUUGCUGUGAGCUUUUGAAUGUGAACUGAGAAGACUGGAGACGCUCCAGGUGAUUAAAGUUGUAUGAUCCCAUCCUCGCAUAACACAAAAAAAAAAAAAGGUCAGUGUGUGCGUAAAUAGGGAAUCAAAGGCAACUGGGAGUGUCACUAAAGAAGAAGGAAUCACCUGGAGGAUGAUUAGAACCGGGUAAGAAGACCUGGUUUAGGUGGAGUAACUUGGGCCACCAGACAUUCCCACAUAAGAGGACACAGACAAUGCUUCAUGAGUUGUCAGAAGCAAGCAUCGGGGUCCGGAAAGGUUUCAACAACCAAUCACCAACACCUACGAGACAGUGAACCUACGUCAAGCCACAAAAUACAGUUGUGAGUAACAAACCCGAGAACGUUACCUGAGCACAAGAGUAUUUGUUGAAAGGCUUACCAGCAGAACAUGAUAAUAUAAUAACAGUUCAGAGAGCUGAAUCAAAUGUCCGAUCAAGGAAGGGUUUCAAGAGCUCCAGGUGAUUAAAGUUGUAUGAUCCCAUCCUCGCAUAACACAGACAGAAAUUAAAAAAAAAAAAAAAAAGGGUCAGUGUGUGCGUAAAUAGAGAAUCAAAGGCAACUGGGAGUGUCACUAAAGAAGAAGGAAUCACCUGGAGGAUGAUUAGAACCGGGUAAGAAGACCUGGUUUAGGUGGAGUAACUUGGGCCACCAGACAUU
RNAcentral lists this long non-coding RNA (4142 nucleotides) under Brassica napus (rape). RNAcentral describes it as "long non-coding RNA (BNAP_LNC003817)". The record is from RNAcentral. Lineage: Eukaryota; Viridiplantae; Streptophyta; Magnoliopsida; Brassicales; Brassicaceae.